CGCGUAGGCGGUAAUGUAAGUCAGACGUGAAAUCCUUCGGCUUAACCGAAGAACUGCGUCUGAAACUGCAUGACUAGAGUGCAGAAGAGGGAAACGGAAUUCCUGGUGUAGAGGUGAAAUUCGUAGAUAUCAGGAGGAACACCGGUGGCGAAGGCGGUUUCCUGGUCUGACACUGACGCUGAGGCGCGAAAGCGUGGGGGAGCAAACAGGAUUAGAUACCCUGGUAGUCCACGCCGUAAACGGUGGGUACUGGGUGUGGGAGGUGUAAUGCCUUCUGUGCCGAGCUAACGCGUUAAGUACCCGCCUGGGGAGUACGGCCGCAAGGUUGAA
Molecule: ribosomal RNA, 330 nt
Filed under: uncultured bacterium
Lineage: Bacteria
Description: bacterial SSU rRNA
Rfam family: Bacterial small subunit ribosomal RNA
Source: RNAcentral